This 397-nucleotide ribosomal RNA is filed under the name uncultured bacterium. RNAcentral describes it as "partial 16S ribosomal RNA". It matches the Rfam family "Bacterial small subunit ribosomal RNA", at positions 338 to 732 of the family's 1533-position model. The record is from RNAcentral.
CCUACGGGUGGCAGCAGUGAGGAAUAUUGGUCAAUGGACGAGAGUCUGAACCAGCCAAGUAGCGUGAAGGAUGACUGCCCUAUGGGUUGUAAACUUCUUUUAUAAAGGAAUAAAACGAGGCACGUGUGCCUUUUUGCAUGUACUUUAUGAAUAAGGAUCGGCUAACUCCGUGCCAGCAGCCGCGGUAAUACGGAGGAUCCGAGCGUUAUCCGGAUUUAUUGGGUUUAAAGGGAGCGUAGGUGGGUUGUUAAGUCAGUUGUGAAAGUUUGGGGCUCAACCGUAAAAUUGCAGUUGAUACUGGCAGUCUUGAGUAGAGGAGAAGUAGGCGGAAUUCGCGGUGUAGCGGUGAAAUGCAUAGAUAGCACGAAGAACCCCGAUUGCGAAGGCAGCUUAAUAA